RNAcentral lists this ribosomal RNA (468 nucleotides) under uncultured bacterium. RNAcentral describes it as "partial 16S ribosomal RNA". It matches the Rfam family "Bacterial small subunit ribosomal RNA", at positions 28 to 507 of the family's 1533-position model. The record is from RNAcentral.
GACGAACGCUGGCGGCGUGCUUAACACAUGCGAGUCGAACGGAAAGGCCCUGCUUUUGUGGGGUGCUCGAGUGGCGAACGGGUGAGUAACACGCGAGUAACCUGCCCUUGACUUUGGGAUAACUUCAGGAAACUGGGGCUAAUACCGGAUAGGAGCUCCUGCUGCAUGGUGGGGGGUGGAAAGUUUCGGCGGUUGGGGAUGGACUCGCGGCUUAUCAGCUUGUUGGUGGGGUAGUGGCUUACCAAGGCUUUGACGGGUAGCCGGCCUGAGAGGGUGACCGGCCACAUUGGGACUGAGAUACGGCCCAGACUCCUACGGGAGGCAGCAGUGGGGAAUAUUGCACAAUGGGCGGAAGCCUGAUGCAGCAACGCCGCGUGCGGGAUGACGGCCUUCGGGUUGUAAACCGCUUUCGCCUGUGACGAAGCGUGAGUGACGGUAAUGGGUAAAGAAGCACCGGCUAACUACGUG